CGCUAUCACUCCUACGGGGAGGCAGCAGUAGGGAAUCUUCACAAUGGGCGCAAGCCUGAUGGAGCAACACCGCGUGAGUGAAGAAGGGUUUCGGCUCGUAAAGCUCUGUUGUUAAAGAAGAACACGUAUGAGAGUAACUGUUCAUACGUUGACGGUAUUUAACCAGAAAGUCACGGCUAACUACGUGCCAGCAGCCGCGGUAAUACGUAGGUGGCAAGCGUUAUCCGGAUUUAUUGGGCGUAAAGAGAGUGCAGGCGGUUUUCUAAGUCUGAUGUGAAAGCCUUCGGCUUAACCGGAGAAGUGCAUCGGAAACUGGAUAACUUGAGUGCAGAAGAGGGUAGUGGAACUCCAUGUGUAGCGGUGGAAUGCGUAGAUAUAUGGAAGAACACCAGUGGCGAAGGCGGCUACCUGGUCUGCAACUGACGCUGAGACUCGAAAGCAUGGGUAGCGAACAGGAUUAGAUACCCUGGUAG
RNAcentral lists this ribosomal RNA (473 nucleotides) under uncultured bacterium. Its description in RNAcentral is "bacterial SSU rRNA". It matches the Rfam family "Bacterial small subunit ribosomal RNA", at positions 328 to 793 of the family's 1533-position model. The record is from RNAcentral.